This 74-nucleotide transfer RNA is filed under the name Verrucomicrobiota bacterium. RNAcentral's name for it is "Verrucomicrobia bacterium (freshwater metagenome) tRNA-Gly". It matches the Rfam family "tRNA". Rfam says of the family: Transfer RNA (tRNA) molecules are approximately 80 nucleotides in length. RNAcentral also lists the same sequence under 1 other name. Lineage: Bacteria; Pseudomonadati; Verrucomicrobiota. The record is from RNAcentral.
GCGGGCGUAGCUCAAUGGUAGAGCUCCAGUCUUCCAAACUGGCUACGAGGGUUCGAUUCCCUUCGCCCGCUCCA